Molecule: ribosomal RNA, 301 nt
Filed under: uncultured bacterium
Lineage: Bacteria
Description: partial 16S ribosomal RNA
Rfam family: Bacterial small subunit ribosomal RNA
Source: RNAcentral
CAGUAGCCACGGGAAUACGUAGGUGGCAAGCGUUGUCCGGAAUUAUUGGGCGUAAAGGGCUCGCGGGCGGUUUCUUAAGUCUGAUGUGAAAGCCCCCGGCUCAACCGGGGAGGGUCAUUGGAAACUGGGAAACUUGAGUGCAGAAGAGGAGAGUGGAAUUCCACGUGUAGCGGUGAAAUGCGUAGAGAUGUGGAGGAACACCAGUGGCGAAGGCGACUCUCUGGUCCGUAACUGACGCCGAGGAGCGAAAGCGUGGGGAGCGAACAGGAUUAGAUACCCGCGUAGUCCCUGUCUCUUAUAC